Long non-coding RNA from Cavia porcellus (domestic guinea pig), 1567 nucleotides. RefSeq lists it as uncharacterized. Lineage: Eukaryota; Metazoa; Chordata; Mammalia; Rodentia; Caviidae. The record is from RefSeq and is a predicted model, not a curated record. The transcript has 3 exons.
UUUUCCAAUGACUACUUUUCCAGAAACCAGCGUAGGUUAGCCCAAAACGGGGUGGAGGGGACACAAAAGCCACUAAAUACAAGAAACUACAAGACACAGUGGGCUUCAUUCAUCUGUGUGACAACCAUGUGCAGAAAAUGGUCACCUGAAUAGCUGUUUUGUUCACCUGAAAUAUCCCUGUAUUCUCAAUAUUUUCAAAAUUGUUCUGAUUUAAAUUGUUUCCAUUUUCAUCUUCCCAGCUAAAUGGCUACUUUGAUGAGCAUUUAUUCUCUGCUACAGUUUAAAAAAGUAGAGCUCUUUCAAAUCAGUAAGACAAAGAUGAACUGUUCAGUGAGGAGGAAAUUGAAAAGGACUUGAACAAUCAGUUAACAGAAGAAACACAGAGCUGGAGAUGUAGUUCAGAGGAAUGCCAGUUAAGGGUCUCGGAAACAUGAUCAUCAGCCUUGCUAUUAACCAGCCCCAUUAUCCUCUGCUGAAGAGUUGUUCCAACAGCAGGACAGAGGAAAGAUUCAUCCCCAAAAGGUAGAAGAAAUGGGACUUGGCAUUUGUCCAGGAAAGACAAAUUCAGAGGUCCAGGAAAAAAGGUUUGUUUUGUUCACAGGAUGGAGAUGAGAUACAGGUGUGAAUACCCCCAUUGCAUUGCAAAGAUUCUUUCUGCGAGCUGAAAACAACGAAGGGUUGGCAAGUAGCAACACGACGCAGAAUUCCGCCACAGAUCAGGCAGCAGACGUGACUCAAUGUCAGGGGCUGUGCCAAAACUUUCCGCUAGUAACCUGAGGAUCGCCACGGGCAAGCCGAUUAGAAACUGGUGGUCAACUUAACACCAGCUGAAUUAAAUCAGUAUGCUGCUGACUAUAGACAACCCACCUGAGGAAAGUUGCCAGAGUAAAUAGAGAUGUGGAGAAGAAGAGCUAGGUAUUGUGGGUUUUCCUAUGUAUUGCUGCUUGAGCCACUAGUUCUCCUGGAGGAGCUCGUCAUGACUAGCUUCUCCAGUGUGAGUUUGACCAUUAUCAUUGGAGGAGCUUGGGACCUUGCUGGUGAGAGUGGCUGUGGUUCACUUUGGGGGAGCUCUCGUCCUCACAUCAAGCAUGGCUUCCUGGCUCUGGAGGGGAAGAUGUGUGCUGUUUAAUCUCCAGAAGAAACUUGUCAUGCUGGCUAUCUGGCAUGUACUCAACUGUUCUCAUCAUCAGAAGAGCUCAGGACCUCCACGUAGCUGAGGAUGGCUGUGGUACUUUUCAGGGCAGCCCUGGUCCUUAUUUUAAGCAUUGCUUCUCAGCUCCAGUGUAGAACCCUCAACCUACCCCAACCUACCUUCACCCCACUAGCAUAGACUUUCUAGGUUCCACUGUUGACCUUUGGGCCUUGCCAAUGCAGAUCCAUAAAAUAGACGGGCAUGAGACCUUCUUGUGGGUUCUAGAUCUCCAGCUGGACUUGUGGGAGGCAUUGUCAUGGGCUCUAGGUUUUCAUCUGGACUCAUGAAGGACAUUGCUGGACAAUUCAGGUCCUUGGAUGAAUAUUAUAUGUCUUUAGUAUUGUGGACAGAUUUCCUGCACAUUCUUGUGUUAAC